Long non-coding RNA from Xenopus laevis (African clawed frog), 208 nucleotides. RefSeq lists it as uncharacterized. The transcript is spliced from 2 exons. NCBI's taxonomy places the organism in Eukaryota, Metazoa, Chordata, Amphibia, Anura, Pipidae. The record is from RefSeq and is a predicted model, not a curated record.
CUUCACGAAAAGACCAGCUAGAGCAGCAGAUAAGAUACUUUUGUUUUCAAGAUACGCAAAUAAAGGAUUGAAAGGGCAUUCUCCAGAUUCAUAUGGCACAACAAAAGGCCGAGACAAAAAUGUAAUAGUAUAACCAGAAACAAACAGCAGGGAGGUCUGGGGGUUCCAGAUACAUCAUUGGCACUUCGGAACAGAUGAAGGUAAAUAC